This 78-nucleotide transfer RNA is filed under the name Staphylococcus aureus. RNAcentral's name for it is "tRNA-His(gtg)". It matches the Rfam family "tRNA". From Rfam's summary of the family: Transfer RNA (tRNA) molecules are approximately 80 nucleotides in length. Their secondary structure includes four short double-helical elements and three loops (D, anti-codon, and T loops). The record is from RNAcentral. Lineage: Bacteria; Bacillati; Bacillota; Bacilli; Caryophanales; Staphylococcaceae.
GGCGGUUGUGGUGAAGUGGUUAACACAUCGGAUUGUGGUUCCGACAUUCGAGGGUUCGAUCCCCUUCAGCCGCCCCCA